This is a non-coding RNA of Salmo salar (Atlantic salmon), 58 nucleotides long. Lineage: Eukaryota; Metazoa; Chordata; Actinopteri; Salmoniformes; Salmonidae. The record is from Rfam.
UGGCUCAGUUGGUAGAGCAUGGUGUUUGCAACGCCAGGGUUGUGGGUUCGAUUCUCAC